This 690-nucleotide ribosomal RNA is filed under the name Faecalibacterium prausnitzii. RNAcentral describes it as "bacterial SSU rRNA". It matches the Rfam family "Bacterial small subunit ribosomal RNA", at positions 437 to 1153 of the family's 1533-position model. The record is from RNAcentral. Lineage: Bacteria; Bacillati; Bacillota; Clostridia; Eubacteriales; Oscillospiraceae.
UGUUGAGGAAGAUAAUGACGGUACUCAACAAGGAAGUGACGGCUAACUACGUGCCAGCAGCCGCGGUAAAACGUAGGUCACAAGCGUUGUCCGGAAUUACUGGGUGUAAAGGGAGCGCAGGCGGGAGAUCAAGUUGGAAGUGAAAUCCAUGGGCUCAACCCAUGAACUGCUUUCAAAACUGUUUGUCUUGAGUAGUGCAGAGGUAGGCGGAAUUCCCGGUGUAGCGGUGGAAUGCGUAGAUAUCGGGAGGAACACCAGUGGCGAAGGCGGCCUACUGGGCACCAACUGACGCUGAGGCUCGAAAGUGUGGGUAGCAAACAGGAUUAGAUACCCUGGUAGUCCACACCGUAAACGAUGAUUACUAGGUGUUGGAGGAUUGACCCCUUCAGUGCCGCAGUUAACACAAUAAGUAAUCCACCUGGGGAGUACGACCGCAAGGUUGAAACUCAAAGGAAUUGACGGGGGCCCGCACAAGCAGUGGAGUAUGUGGUUUAAUUCGACGCAACGCGAAGAACCUUACCAAGUCUUGACAUCCCUUGACGAUGCUGGAAACAGUAUUUCUCUUCGGAGCAAGGAGACAGGUGGUGCAUGGUUGUCGUCAGCUCGUGUCGUGAGAUGUUGGGUUAAGUCCCGCAACGAGCGCAACCCUUAUGGUCAGUUACUACGCAAGAGGACUCUGGCCAGACUGCG